CCUACGGGAGGCAGCAGUGGGGAAUUUUGGACAAUGGGCGAAAGCCUGAUCCAGCAAUGCCGCGUGCAGGAAGAAGGCCUUCGGGUUGUAAACUGCUUUUGUACGGAACGAAACGGUCUGCUUUAAUACAGUGGGCUAAUGACGGUACCGUAAGAAUAAGCACCGGCUAACUACGUGCCAGCAGCCGCGGUAAUACGUAGGGUGCGAGCGUUAAUCGGAAUUACUGGGCGUAAAGCGUGCGCAGGCGGUUAUAUAAGACAGUUGUGAAAUCCCCGGGCUCAACCUGGGAAUUGCAUCUGUGACUGUAUAGCUAGAGUACGGUAGAGGGGGAGGGAAUUCCGCGUGUAGCAGUGAAAUGCGUAGAUAUGCGGAGGAACACCGAUGGCGAAGGCAAUCCCCUGGACCUGUACUGACGCUCAUGCACGAAAGCGUGGGGAGCAAACAGGAUUAGAUACCCUGGUAGUCCACGCCCUAAACGAUGUCAACUGGUUGUUGGGUGCAUUAGUACUCAGUAACGAAGCUAACGCGUGAAGUUGACCGCCUGGGGAGUACGGCCGCAAGGUUGAAACUUAAANGAAUUGACGG
This 585-nucleotide ribosomal RNA is filed under the name uncultured bacterium. RNAcentral describes it as "bacterial SSU rRNA". It matches the Rfam family "Bacterial small subunit ribosomal RNA", at positions 338 to 916 of the family's 1533-position model. The record is from RNAcentral.